This 211-nucleotide long non-coding RNA is filed under the name Musa acuminata (dwarf banana). RNAcentral describes it as "long non-coding RNA (MACU_LNC006890)". Lineage: Eukaryota; Viridiplantae; Streptophyta; Magnoliopsida; Zingiberales; Musaceae. The record is from RNAcentral.
CCAUACUUCAUUCACUUUCAAACUAACUAUCUCCGGCUCUGAAGGAAGGCUAGCUAUAUGGCACUAAACUUCCCUUUCCGACCUUAAUGGAAUUGCAGCUCAGCUUCCUUUCGUACAGCAUCCCUUUUGUUUACGGCAACACCUCUGAUCUUAGCGCCAACCUUGCCUCGACUUGAAGAAUCGAUUGCAGAUUACUUACUUUAUACUCCUG